GGGAUGAGCCCGCGUAGGAUUAGCUAGUUGGUGGGGUAAAGGCUCACCAAGGCUACGAUCCUUAGCUGGUCUGAGAGGAUGAUCAGCCACACUGGGACUGAGACACGGCCCAGACUCCUACGGGAGGCAGCAGUAGGGAAUAUUGGACAAUGGGGGCAACCCUGAUCCAGCAAUGCCGCGUGAGUGAUGAAGGCCUUAUGGUUGUAAAGCUCUUUUACCCGAGAUGAUAAUGACAGUAUCGGGAGAAUAAGCUCCGGCUAACUCCGUGCCAGCAGCCGCGGUAAUACGGAGGGAGCUAGCGUUGUUCGGAAUUACUGGGCGUAAAGCGCACGUAGGCGGCGAUUUAAGUCAGAGGUGAAAGCCCGGGGCUCAACCCCGGAACUGCCUUUGAGACUGGAUUGCUAGAAUCUUGGAGAGGCGGGUGGAAUUCCGAGUGUAGAGGUGAAAUUCGUAGAUAU
RNAcentral lists this ribosomal RNA (458 nucleotides) under uncultured Alphaproteobacteria bacterium. RNAcentral describes it as "bacterial SSU rRNA". It matches the Rfam family "Bacterial small subunit ribosomal RNA", at positions 222 to 697 of the family's 1533-position model. The record is from RNAcentral. Lineage: Bacteria; Pseudomonadati; Pseudomonadota; Alphaproteobacteria.